UUCACCUGGGACCGGGAUCGCAAACAGUGCCAGGAACAAGCUCAGCAUCCAGUCCAGCCGUCGAUCGAGGGGACACCGACAGGAAAAACAGCAAGGCAGGAGGGAGGUGGCUUCGUUGCGGUCCGGAGCAUGGCAGCGGCUAAUGAGCCUGGAGUGGGACGCUGGCAGUGGCAUCGAGUGGGCAGCUUGCAGAAGGGCGAGCAUGAGGAACCGGUACCAGCUGUUACACUGGCAGAGAUGACGUCGGCGAGGUGGAGGAGUCAACCAGCAACAGGAGAAAGGGUUACCACCUGCGGAGUUUGAAAAACAAAUCCAAGGGGACACCACAUCUAAAGUUACUCAGUGUCUUACAGAGGGGCACAACAUCAAGAAUGGAGGUGGGGGUGUGCGCGGAUUGUUGCUGCUGAGCUUCACACUCCAACCACUUGCGUUUUCUUCCAACUUCCUUCCACCAUACCCAUUCCACUCUCACUCACCUAAUGUCUCUGUCCCUCAGAGAUAUUUGGUCUUUGAUGAUGUAUGACAGACAACAGCUACCACUCCCAGUGGUACUGAUGGGAAUGGGGAACUGCUGGUCUGUGACUGACUGGCAACUCUUAAGUAAAGUACUGAGGUCGCCCCAAUGCUGGCCUAUUAAGUGCUUGAUGGCUCUUGAUUCUGACCAUCUUUCCUCCAUGGAGAUGCUAUGUGGCAUGCACCAGUUAUCCAGUUGAUUGGUGAGACUCCCAUGGCGAAAGUUAAUUCCGGCACAUUCUGUCUGAGGAAAUCCCACCAUAAAAAGUUUCUGGGAAUUAAAAUCAUUUUAAGAAACUUCUAACAGAAUUAUUGUGCAUUUUAACAUAAGACUGACUGUCCCUCAGGCAGCUUUCUUUGCUUUUCACAUUCCCUCUACCAGCUGGCUGUUGUUGUCGAGUGAAAAAUCUUUUACAACUGUAUGUUUCCAUUCAUUGAAUGGUUCCAAAUAGUCCUGUUAGUAUUUUAACUGAACAUUUCUAUACAAAAUGUUGUUGGGACUGGCUUUAAAUUUUGCAUUGAAUGUGAACAAAAAAUUCUUCCUGUUUUCAUAUUAAUUUUUUUCUUUGUGACAUUGGAAGGAGAAAUCAAGUCAAUGUUGCUGUAAAUAAAGCAAAAUGAAUUGAGCUGUAAAUUUUGCAUCCUAUAACCUGUCGUCUGCAAACAUUGAGAUGUGCGAGUCGAAAGAGUUGUAGCCCAUUUACCUUGGAGCCAAUUUCACUCAAAAUUCAGAAUCAGUAAGAUGCUUUAAAAAUAACUGGAAAAUUCAAAUAUAGAUACUUUUAAAGAAACCUGAAGAUAUUUAUUCCGUCUAAGUCUUGAAAAACGAUCUAUACAA
Long non-coding RNA from Rhincodon typus (whale shark), 1351 nucleotides. RefSeq lists it as uncharacterized. Lineage: Eukaryota; Metazoa; Chordata; Chondrichthyes; Orectolobiformes; Rhincodontidae. The transcript has 3 exons. The record is from RefSeq and is a predicted model, not a curated record.